This 255-nucleotide ribosomal RNA is filed under the name uncultured bacterium. RNAcentral's name for it is "partial 16S ribosomal RNA". It matches the Rfam family "Bacterial small subunit ribosomal RNA", at positions 524 to 776 of the family's 1533-position model. The record is from RNAcentral.
UACGAGGGGGGCAAGCGUUGUUCGGAAUUAUUGGGCGUAAAGGGUGCGUAGGCGGUUUUGUAAGUCUUGUGUGAAAUCUUCAGGCUCAACUUGAAGACUGCACGAGAAACUGCAGGGCUUGAGUGUUGCAGGGGGAGACUGGAAUUCCUGGUGUAGCGGUGAAAAUGCGCAGAUAUCAGGAGGAACACCGGUGGCGAAGGCGGGUCUCUGGGCAACAACUGACGCUGAGGAGCGAAAGCGUGGGGAGCGAACAGG